Molecule: long non-coding RNA, 858 nt
Organism: Vicia villosa (hairy vetch)
Lineage: Eukaryota; Viridiplantae; Streptophyta; Magnoliopsida; Fabales; Fabaceae
Exons: 3
Source: RefSeq, a predicted model, not a curated record
UAAUAAACAAAAGGGGAUAGGGUUAACAUUUGUGACCUUUCACCUUCACGUCUUCUUCCCCUCUCUCGACUCAGAACGCGGCGGCCGGAGAACUAACGUUCUCUUUCUCCGUCAAACAACGAACUCUCUCAUCUCCUCACCGAUUCCGUUCUCAAAUCUUGCUCUCACCUCUCCGAUUCCAUAACUCAAACUCCGGUCUCAAUCUCGUCUCUCUCUAAUUCGACAUGGCUCCGACGACCUUUCAAGCUCGUUGGAGAUGACGAGGAAAUCCGAUAAAUUCCUCAAGAACUCAGUUUUGCUGAAACGAAUCGAUUAUUGAGGUAGAGUGAUCUUUGAAGAUGAAGAAUCAAGAAGCGAUUAUGGAGAUGAUGAAGAAUUGGCUUUUUGGAUUUUCUGCAGGUUGAAUAUUGGUGAUUGAAUGAAUGAAGAUAGAUGAAGAUUGGGGAAGAAGAUUGAAAUAUUGGUGAUGAAGGAGAUUCAAGGUUGAACCAUGGAGAUUCUGAGAUGAAGAAGAUUGAAUGGGAAUUGAGAGUGAAGGAUGAAUGGAAGUGAAGGGCAUUGAGAAGUGAAGAGUUCUGUUUAUAUAGAGUUUCAGAGAAAAAUGGUGGAGAAACCAACUGAAGAAUGAUGAAGAUGUUAUAUGGAGAAGAUGAGAGAAUGGAGAAGUGGAAGAUUGAAGAUGUGAAAAUGGCGUCCCCGAUUGAAUGGAGGAGGAGCAGAAUAUAUAGGUGAGUCUCUUCUUGGCUUUUCUUCUGAAAUUCUGUUGUGGAGUGUAACUGAUCUGAAAAUUAGUUAGGAUAGGUGGUUAGGCUGUAACUGAAUCGGUUAUGGGUUGGUUUAGUUAGUUAGGGUUGAAAG